GAGGACCAUUACUGACACAUUCGCCAUCUUAGAAAAUUGAGUUUCCAAAAAUGCAUACAUAUACCAACCUUAAGUUGUUACAGUUUUGGUCGUUUCCAGCUACAGAAUCUGGACAGAAUUGGAUAUAUGUAGUUAGAGUCAUAUAACUAUCGUCAACAACUCUACCUAGGCUUCCUGGAGAUAUUUUAGAGAUGCUAAACAAUUAAACUGGACUCGGUGUAUAAACCAGAUGGUUCCAUGUAGAGAAUGAAUUGUAAUUGGACGAAGAUGAAGGAGGAAAGAGAUAUACGUCAUACUUACUUGGUAACUUCUCCGUCUUUCACUGUAAGUACCUGAGGCAACUUCUUGAUAAUCUUGGGGGCACAUUCUACGUCACUGUCUGAUGGGAAGUAAUCAGUCUCACUUAUAGUCUACAAGUAAAAAAGAAAAUUGCAUUCUUUGCAGCAUCUGUCCUGCGAGUUAGACUGUCUAAACUGUUCUAUACAUAACUCAACAAGCUCAGUGCCAGGCAGGUACCAAGAAAAUAGAUUAAUGAGUCAAAAUAACCUGUGAUGGCAUUGGAGAUAUGAUUAAUUAAGAUUAUCAAGAGUGCGUGUAACAGUGGAGGCGUGAUUAUGUACGACUGUGCCAAUAAACAUAAAUAUUAUGAGCUGGCCGGAACGCCACAUUAUCAAAAUUUACGUUGGGAAAAUGAAGUAAAUAUAUUUACUUGACGUGAAAUUUGGAAAAACUUAGGUUAAUAAACAAUUUGUACAAUCAACUGUUAAUAAAGAUACCUACUGUUAUUUUAUUAUUAAUAGAGAAUUAAUAAUAUAAGGUAAAACUUUAAAAAGGGUAAACCCUGUAGUUGGCUGUAUACUAGGGUGGAUCGAAAAAUCGAAGUUUCAAAAACUGUUUUGGAAUAGUGCGCAAAAGUUACCAAUUGGUAUUACAAACCUAAUCUUUAUUUGCGAUUUUUCAAAAAAAUUGCAUCUUCUGCCCUCUACCGGGGGUUGAAAAAUAAAAAAAAAUAAAAAAUACGAACAUAUGAUUUUAAAUGAAAAGUUAAGUAAUAAGUACAUGUUAUUAUUAUAAAAAUGAUAUCCAAUCUAAA
Diabrotica virgifera virgifera (western corn rootworm) is the source of this 1093-nucleotide long non-coding RNA. RefSeq lists it as uncharacterized. The record is from RefSeq and is a predicted model, not a curated record. Lineage: Eukaryota; Metazoa; Arthropoda; Insecta; Coleoptera; Chrysomelidae. The transcript is spliced from 4 exons.